This is an RNA transcript of Cucurbita moschata (crookneck pumpkin), 2680 nucleotides long. It is a transcript of the gene named scarecrow-like protein 4, with no coding region annotated. The transcript has 8 exons. Lineage: Eukaryota; Viridiplantae; Streptophyta; Magnoliopsida; Cucurbitales; Cucurbitaceae. The record is from RefSeq and is a predicted model, not a curated record.
CUAGCUCCCUCGGGGGAACGCUUAUCUCUCUCUCUCUCUCUCUCUCUCUCUCUCUCUCUCUCUCUCUCUCACUCUCUCCGUUCUCUCUGGUUAAAUAGCUUCACCGACGACCUUGCCGCCGUGAUCGGCUAACUUCCGGCAGCUUCUCUUUCUAUUUUUUAUUUGGCUCUAGAAUGGCGAAUAUGUGUGCCGACAGUGGCAAUCUUAUGGCGAUUGCUCAGCAAGUUAUGAAGCAGAAGCAGCAACAGGAGCAGCAACAGCAGCAGCCUCCACAACAGCCGCCGCAGCAGCAGCUCACUAGCCCUUCCACUUUUACUCUGAACCCAUGGAGUGGCUCGAACCAUGGUCUAUCCAGUCCAGAUUUGGGGUUUGGGCUUGCCGGAGCUGGAUUUUCCGAUCCGUUUCAGGUGCAGAGAGUGGUCGACGGUGGAGAAACGAGCUUUCAGUUUCCGAACUUAGAGCACCAUUCUUCUUCUUUCAGAUAUCCCGAUUUCGACGGCGGCGCUGCUGCAGAUUUCGACUCCGAUGAGUGGAUGGAGAGUCUAAUGGCUGGUGGAGAUUCAACGGAUAGCUCUAAUCUCCCUUCUGGUUGCGACGCGUGGCACGCUAAUUCGGAUAUUGCUCUCUACGGUGAUGAUCCCUUUGUCCCCUGUCCCAGUCGCCUCACCAUCCCCUGUUCUUCACCCUCCGAUCUCAACAGAGUCAUUUUCCCGGAACCUCCGAAAAAUCAAGCCGCCAUUCUACCGCCUGUGGUUUCAUGGACCGGGCUUACUCCCAAGACUCCACCGGUGGUGGUUAAGGACACUAACGGCUGUUCGUCGAGUUCUGCAGAGAACGAACCGAAACCGCCACUUCUGAAAACCCUAAUUGAAUGUGCUAGACUUUCUGAAUCGGAACCAAAUCGGGCGGCGCAAAUAUUUAUCCAGCUUAAGGAAUCGUCAUCGGAGCAUGGAGAUCCGACGGAGAGAGUCGCUUUUUACUUCCUCGAAGCUCUGUACCGGAGAUUAUCACUUCAAACGGAGAAUCGUUUGGUUUGUUUGGAAUCCACUUCAGAUGAUUUCACCAUUUCUUACAAAGCUCUCAACGACGCCUGCCCGUACUCUAAAUUCGCCCAUUUGACUGCGAAUCAAGCGAUACUCGAAAUGACAGAGAACGCGAGCAAGAUUCACAUAAUCGACUUUGGAAUUUCUCAGGGAGUUCAAUGGGCGGCGCUUCUUCAAGCUCUCGCAACCCGCUCCUCCGGAAAACCAACCGGAAUCCGGAUCUCCGGCAUUCCAGCUCCGAUGCUCGGAAACUGCCCAGCCACAGCGCUGUUCGCGACGGGUAAUCGACUGGCCGAGUUCGCCAAGCUUCUAGAACUGAACUUCGAAUUUGACCGAAUCCUCACCCCAAUCGAAGAACUGAAAGAAUCCUCGUUCCGAAUCGACUCCGACGAAACCCUCGCCGUGAAUUUCAUGCUUCAACUUUACAAUCUCCUCGACGAAACUCCUCGCGUCGUUCUGAACGUUUUGCGACUCGCUAAAUCACUGAACCCUAAAAUCGUAACCCUAGGCGAAUACGAAGCCAGCCUGAAUCGGGUCGGGUUCUUUAACCGGUUCAAGAACGCACUCCGAUACUACUCAGCCGUGUUCGAAUCACUGGACCCAAAAUUACCUCGCAACUCAAACGAAAGGCUGCAACUGGAAAAGCUCGUACUGGGGCGGCAGAUCGGCGACAUUGUCGGACCAGAGUCGUCGCCGGGAGCCAAAAUCGAACGGAUGGAAGACAAAGAACAGUGGAAAAUGAUGAUGGAAAAUUGCGGGUUUGAAGCGGUAAAUCUCAGCCAUUACGCGAAAAGUCAAGCUCAAAUCCUUUUAUGGAAGUAUGAUUACAGCUGUGAGUAUUCUUUGAUCGAAUCCUCGCCUGGAUUUCUCUCGUUGGCCUGGAAUCAAGUCCCGAUCAUUACAGUUUCUUCCUGGCGUUGAAACGAAACCAGUAAUGGAGAGGCGCAUGGACAACUCAUUUUGGAUCGGGCCGAGCGUCUCAAUGCUGAUAUGAUCUUCGCUAUGCUGAGCUGUCGGAUCUGCUGGUUGUGUUGAUGCCUGAAAUGCCCAAGUGGAACAGUCUCGAUUGUCCUGUACGAGCUCCUUUCCUUCAAUACCCGUCAUCUGUACUCCUGCAACUCACAGUCUUAGGUUAGAAAAUGAUUAUUGGUUUGCUAGCGUUGGUUGAUUGAAUGUAUUAUUAUCUUUUGCGACGGGAAGAUACGAGAUAGGGGUAUUUGAUCAUACCAUCCGUAUGUGAUGUCUUUGUUAUGCAUCAUCUAUAUUGGGUUCAUGAUUUGAUAUGGUUGUUGUUGUAGAGACCGUUUGGGAGAGACCUGUAGCUCAAAGGUGGUAGAGCGCUCAAGGCCAAUAAGGCUGAUGCUGGUUUAGAUAUUGAACUUCCAUUCACUCGCUGCAGCCACCAUUCUCACUUUGCCUUCUUACUCUGCAGUCGAGCUGAGAACGUCAGCAAUUUCGUGGAAGCUGAGUCCCAUCUUCGGUCCGUCCCUUUUACUGACGUUGCCUGAGAUAUGUAUUUUCAACCAUCAACACACAUGUUCAACAAAAUUUAGAUCAGUUUCCACGGGAACGAGAAAUCGAAUCAAAAAGGUACUAGUCUAGCACAUAGAUUCUGGAGGCAAUGUCUUGGACCAACC